This 203-nucleotide ribosomal RNA is filed under the name uncultured Staphylococcus sp. RNAcentral's name for it is "partial 16S ribosomal RNA". It matches the Rfam family "Bacterial small subunit ribosomal RNA", at positions 162 to 354 of the family's 1533-position model. Lineage: Bacteria; Bacillati; Bacillota; Bacilli; Caryophanales; Staphylococcaceae. The record is from RNAcentral.
GCUAAUACCGGAUAAUAUAUUGAACCGCAUGGUUCAAUAGUGAAAGAACGGUUUUGUCUGUCAACUUAUAGAUGGAUCCGCGCCGCAUUAGCUAGUUGGUAAGGUAACGGCUUACCAAGGCAACGAUGCGUAGCCGACCUGAGAGGGUGAUCGGCCACACUGGAACUGAGACACGGUCCAGACUCCUACGGGAGGCAGCAGAU